CGAUCGAGUAGCGGAGAAUAAUUUCGCGUUAUAGUUCAUUUAUGAAAUCAUACAUUUCACACGUCUAUUGCUAAUUCGCCACGCAUACCGGUCGAGUUACGCGCGUCGCGGCCUAAAUGCCGCAUUGUAAGCCCGGCACCUACGCAAUUCCGUUUAAGUGGCGAAUAAUUGAUCUGUACAAUGUGACCGUGGUGUGUUCCAUUGUGCGACCGAGCUGGCCUACUUUCGAUUACAAUGCUCGCUUGCUAUUGGAAACAGAACAAUUUCGCAGUGUUGAUUAUUGAGACUUACGCGCGUACGUACGUAUGCAAGUGCCCUGUCCACCGUCGUCCGCUCAGCCAUCUAAUAAUAGAAGGACGCAUCAUUGCAAACUAAUAUCACUCAUCCCUCGUCGAUAGAAGAACUAUUCGUUGUUCAUCUCGUGGAGGAAGGAAUGGAAUCAGAUCAGGAGCGGAAUGUGGCCAGCAGAAAAUCACAGAGGAGCAGGGUAAACGGUGGCACAAACCUGGGAAGAAUUUAAUCGAGGAGCUUGUAAUGAAUACGGCAUGCUGUCGAUGCAGAAUUUAAGAGACUUGGAAUGACAGAAUUACAUGGAUGGGGCAUAUAAAAGUGGGAAAACACGAGACCAUGAAGCGACGGGCGAAUAUUUUUUGGGCAUGUAGUUUCCAAAUAUUACAAAUAAAGUAGCAGUAAUUGUGCCGCAUGGAGGCUUGAUGGAGCAGAAUUUUCAACUGGCCGGCAAUAAAACGCAUUUUACCGUGUUCCAUGCAGCAAAUAGAAUUUCACCGAUUGCCGCGGCGAACGGGGACACAACGAGCCGAAUGCAGAGGCUAAUAAUUCAAAAAAUUUGCGCGCAAUAUCGAGCAGCAAACGAUACGAGGCUUUCGGUUUG
Bombus pyrosoma is the source of this 892-nucleotide long non-coding RNA. RefSeq lists it as uncharacterized. Lineage: Eukaryota; Metazoa; Arthropoda; Insecta; Hymenoptera; Apidae. The transcript has 3 exons. The record is from RefSeq and is a predicted model, not a curated record.